RNAcentral lists this ribosomal RNA (429 nucleotides) under Chloroflexota bacterium. RNAcentral's name for it is "Chloroflexi bacterium partial 16S ribosomal RNA". It matches the Rfam family "Bacterial small subunit ribosomal RNA", at positions 355 to 776 of the family's 1533-position model. The record is from RNAcentral. Lineage: Bacteria; Bacillati; Chloroflexota.
UGGGGAAUAUUGCACAAUGGGCGCAAGCCUGAUGCAGCCAUGCCGCGUGUAUGAAGAAGGCCUUCGGGUUGUAAAGUACUUUCAGCGGGGAGGAAGGGAGUAAAGUUAAUACCUUUGCUCAUUGACGUUACCCGCAGAAGAAGCACCGGCUAACUCCGUGCCAGCAGCCGCGGUAAUACGGAGGGUGCAAGCGUUAAUCGGAAUUACUGGGCGUAAAGCGCACGCAGGCGGUUUGUUAAGUCAGAUGUGAAAUCCCCGGGCUCAACCUGGGAACUGCAGCUGAUACUGGCAAGCUUGAGUCUCGUAGAGGGGGGUAGAAUUCCAGGUGGAGCGGUGAAAUGCGGAGAGAUCUGGAGGAAUACCGGUGGCGAAGGCGGCCCCCUGGACGAAGACUGACGCUCAGGUGCGAAAGCGUGGGGAGCAAACAGG